AACGAACGCUGGCGGCAUGCCUAACACAUGCAAGUCGAACGAGACCUUCGGGUCUAGUGGCGCACGGGUGCGUAACGCGUGGGAAUCUGCCCUUGGGUUCGGAAUAACAGCGAGAAAUUGCUGCUAAUACCGGAUGAUGACGUAAGUCCAAAGAUUUAUCGCCCAAGGAUGAGCCCGCGUAGGAUUAGCUAGUUGGUGAGGUAAAGGCUCACCAAGGCGACGAUCCUUAGCUGGUCUGAGAGGAUGAUCAGCCACACUGGGACUGAGACACGGCCCAGACUCCUACGGGAGGCAGCAGUGGGGAAUAUUGGACAAUGGGGCGAAAGCCUGAUCCAGCAAUGCCGCGUGAGUGAUGAAGGCCUUAGGGUUGUAAAGCUCUUUUGUCCGGGAAGAUAAUGACUGUACCGGAAGAAUAAGCCCCGGCUAACUUCGUGCCAGCAGCCGCGGUAAU
This 451-nucleotide ribosomal RNA is filed under the name uncultured bacterium. RNAcentral describes it as "bacterial SSU rRNA". It matches the Rfam family "Bacterial small subunit ribosomal RNA", at positions 29 to 524 of the family's 1533-position model. The record is from RNAcentral.